UACGUAGGCAGCAAGCGUUGUUCGGAAUUACUGGGCGUAAAGAGUACGUAGGUGGUUUGCCAAGUCCGAUGUGAAAUCUCCUGGCUUAACUGGGAGGGUGCGUUAGAUACUGGCAGGCUUGAGUGUGGGAGAGGAGAGCGGAAUUCCUGGUGUAGCGGUGAAAUGCGUAGAGAUCGGGAGGAACACCAGAGGCGAAAGCGGCGACCUGGACAGGAACUGACACUCAACUACGAAAGCGUGGGGAGCAAACAGG
This 253-nucleotide ribosomal RNA is filed under the name uncultured bacterium. RNAcentral's name for it is "partial 16S ribosomal RNA". It matches the Rfam family "Bacterial small subunit ribosomal RNA", at positions 524 to 776 of the family's 1533-position model. The record is from RNAcentral.